RNAcentral lists this ribosomal RNA (434 nucleotides) under uncultured bacterium. RNAcentral's name for it is "partial 16S ribosomal RNA". It matches the Rfam family "Bacterial small subunit ribosomal RNA", at positions 29 to 507 of the family's 1533-position model. The record is from RNAcentral.
AGCGAACGCUGGCGGCAGGCCUAACACAUGCAAGUCGAACGAACCUUUCGGGGUUAGUGGCGGACGGGUGAGUAACACGUGGGAACGUGCCUUUAGGUUCGGAAUAACUCAGGGAAACUUGUGCUAAUACCGAAUGUGCCCUUCGGGGGAAAGAUUUAUCGCCUUUAGAGCGGCCCGCGUCUGAUUAGCUAGUCGGUUGAGGUAAUGGCUCACCAAGGCGACGAUCAGUAGCUGGUCUGAGAGGAUGAUCAGCCACAUUGGGACUGAGACACGGCCCAAACUCCUACGGGAAGCAGCAGUGGGGAAUCUUGCGCAAUGGGCGAAAGCCUGACGCAGCCAUGCCGCGUGAAUGAUGAAGGUCUUAGGAUUGUAAAAUUCUUUCACCGGGGACGAUAAUGACGGUACCCGGAGAAGAAGCCCCGGCUAACUUCGUG